UAGGGGUGCAGCAGGAGGAAUGGUGGGGAUCCCCGACCAGAGGGGACAGAUCGAGGCCACGAAGCCACGGGGAAAAACGCACGUGGAGGGCCAAGGUGCAGGUAUCCAGAGCUGAGAGGUAGGCGGAAGGAGCCGAGCCACAGGCAUCCAGCCUCGACCUCCAGAGGAGGCCUGGGCUUACCCUCCUGCCUGGCGAAGCCGGUUGGGACGGCUGCGGGAGCAGCCUAGCCUUCCCCACGGUCGUGGCCCUCCACGUGUCCUCCGUUGUCUCUUUGCCCAAAGACUCUGCUCUUACCUGGAAGCCUGUGCUAAGGAGGGACAGCCCCAGGUGGGCAUGCAGCCAGCCAGGUCCCAGCAAGAAGUCGUCAACCUGGUCUUCCGAUACUGGCAAGGUGUGCUUCGGUGGCUCGUACCUCAAGCUUCCAUUUGGUCCUCAUAACAGCACCAUCGUUAAAUUCACAUUUGGCUACUUAUUGCCCACCAACCGCUGUGCUAAGAAACUUACGUGGAUUACCUCCUGAAAUUCAACAAUGGUUCAUCAUUUCGUGGCUGAGAAAACUGAAGCUCGGCCAAUUUAAUUAAGCUUCCCAGGGUCACAGAACCGGACUGUUCUGGAAGGAUGAUGUCACUCAAGAUGUAAAGCCCCAGAAGAUGGAGCACAUGCCCAGGCUCCACGCCUCGAAGUCCUAUGUGAGGGAUGGGUAGGCGGCCUUUCCCACCAAAACCACUACGCUGAGAGACCGGUGAGCAAGGUGAACAAGGAACAAUGCUUGAAGUCUGAAAUGUUUUUGCCAAGAGACAACCAACCACAGCAAGGCCUCGCUGCAGGUGAGGGCCGGGCCUUGUCCAGAAACACUGAGCCCACCAAGAGCCUGUUUACAGAGGGAGACGGGAUGAAGAGGGGAUAGACGUUGGUUGGUAAGAAGUGAUUUCACUGAGCCUGAUGGAGAACCUUCUGGAAGAGAGGGCCUGGAGGAUGGAAGAGAACAGAGACAGCCCAAUCUUCACUCUGCCACUGCCCAGCUGCGACCUCAGACACAUUACCUAGGCUCUUCAAGUCCCUUCUUCCACAUCUGGAAAAUGGGAACGGUAAUAAAUACAACCCCUCUGGUGUUG
Molecule: long non-coding RNA, 1116 nt
Organism: Hyaena hyaena (striped hyena)
Lineage: Eukaryota; Metazoa; Chordata; Mammalia; Carnivora; Hyaenidae
Exons: 6
Source: RefSeq, a predicted model, not a curated record